GAGUUUACGCUCUAUAACCCUUUGUGAACAUACCUAUAACUGUUGCUUCGGCGGGUAGGGUCUCCGCGACCCUCCCGGCCUCCCGCCUCCGGGCGGGUCGGCGCCCGCCGGAGGAUAACCAAACUCUGAUUUAACGACGUUUCUUCUGAGUGGUACAAGCAAAUAAUCAAAACUUUUAACAACGGAUCUCUUGGUUCUGGCAUCGAUGAAGAACGCAGCGAAAUGCGAUAAGUAAUGUGAAUUGCAGAAUUCAGUGAAUCAUCGAAUCUUUGAACGCACAUUGCGCCCGCCAGCAUUCUGGCGGGCAUGCCUGUUCGAGCGUCAUUUCAACCCUCAAGCUCUGCUUGGUGUUGGGGCCCUACAGCUGAUGUAGGCCCUCAAAGGUAGUGGCGGACCCUCCCGGAGCCUCCUUUGCGUAGUAACUUUACGUCUCGCACUGGGAUCCGGAGGGACUCUUGCCGUAAAACCCCCCAAUUUUCCAAAGGUUGACCUCGGAUCAGGUAGGAAUACCCGCUGAACUUAAGCAUAUCAAUAAGCGGAGGAAAAGAAACCAACAGGGAUUGCCUCAGUAACGGCGAGUGAAGCGGCAACAGCUCAAAUUUGAAAUCUGGCCCUAGGCCCGAGUUGUAAUUUGCAGAGGAUGCUUUUGGUGCGGUGCCUUCCAAGUUCCCUAGAACGGGACGCCAGAGAGGGUGAGAGCCCCGUACAGUUGGACACCAAGCCUUUGUAAAGCUCCUUCGACGAGUCGAGUAGUUUGGGAAUGCUGCUCAAAAUGGGAGGUAUAUUUCUUCUAAAGCUAAAUACCGGCCAGAGACCGAUAGCGCACAAGUAGAGUGAUCGAAAGAUGAAAAGCACUUUGAAAAGAGGGUUAAACAGCACGUGAAAUUGUUAAAAGGGAAGCGCUUGUGACCAGACUUGCGUCCGGUGAAUCACCCAGCUCUCGCGGCUGGGGCACUUCGCCGGCUCAGGCCAGCAUCAGCUCGCUGUCGGGGACAAAAGCUUCAGGAACGUAGCUCUCUUCGGGGAGUGUUAUAGCCUGUUGCACAAUACCCUUCGGCGGGCUGA
RNAcentral lists this ribosomal RNA (1065 nucleotides) under fungal endophyte. RNAcentral's name for it is "eukaryotic LSU rRNA". The stretch from base 487 to 1065 matches the Rfam family "Eukaryotic large subunit ribosomal RNA", at positions 1 to 591 of the family's 3401-position model. The record is from RNAcentral. Lineage: Eukaryota; Fungi.